UGUGAGGGGCGGGGCCUGGGGUAUUUAAGGCGCGCGGCGGCGUCGGUUCCGGUUUCUCGGUGCGUGCGGGGGCGGCAGCGGCCGGUCCGGGCUCUCCCGGCGGGGCCCAGGCAGCUUGUGACAGUGAUUGAUUUACAAUCUGGCCCAAGGCCAAGCUCAGUGGAACAAGCACAACGAGCUGGAGCUGCAGAACAACUGGAACCAGAAGCAGCUGCAGAGGAGCUGGAACCGCAAACAGGCUUGAAGCUGCACAGGCUGGAGCUGGAGCUGAAAGAAACCAGAGAGAGAAACUGGAACCAGAACUCAACUGGAGCCACCCACAAGCUUGAUGUGAUACAUACAAGUUGCAAACACAAACUGAAUAAACAGGAGUACACACUGAACCAAUGAAGGCACAAGCACAAACCCAAUAAAAAGUGGUUACUACCAAUAAA
Columba livia (rock pigeon) is the source of this 434-nucleotide long non-coding RNA. RefSeq lists it as uncharacterized. Lineage: Eukaryota; Metazoa; Chordata; Aves; Columbiformes; Columbidae. The record is from RefSeq and is a predicted model, not a curated record. The transcript is spliced from 2 exons.